Molecule: non-coding RNA, 1233 nt
Organism: Camellia sinensis
Lineage: Eukaryota; Viridiplantae; Streptophyta; Magnoliopsida; Ericales; Theaceae
Source: RefSeq, a predicted model, not a curated record
AAUUUUGUAGUUUGUUUUAAUGCAUACGGUUGGUCUUGUAUUCUUGUAUUUCAUUUUGAUACAAAUUGGGCAUCACCUAAUUUGGCCAACAUUUCCUCUCUCUCCCUCUCCAAAGUUUCAUAUUUUCUUGUAUCCUAACUAGGAAUUUCUCAGAUACCUCUUUUCCCAUUUUUGUAGCUUGGUUUAAGAACUGUUGAGCACAUUGGACAUAUAAAGACUAAUAUAUGUAAUGCAAGAUGGUAGUUUUGGUUAAUAAGAAGUCAUACCCCGCUCUUGAAAAUUGAAACUAGUGAGGAAUCUUAAUAAAUUUUACUUGCAGGUCAAGGUGUGAUGUGUGUUCUUCGUAUUUUGUGCUUUGUAUCCCAUUCAACACUACUAGGGCCCAAUGACUAAAUUUUGUGCAUUUUUUCUAUUUGUGCAUUGCAAUUUGUAUGAGUAAGCUUGGGCUUCAUUUGGCCUCACUGUCUACAGAGAGGGGAAAAUACUUUCCUUUUAUGUUAUGCUGCAUUCUGAAAUGACACCUACGUUGCUAUUUUUAUUGAUAUAUGAUAUAAAUAUUGCUGCCUGAAUUAUGAAAAAAUCCACCGAAGUAACAUUUGUUUAUUGAUGUGAUGUGGCAGGCUCGACGCAUGAUAUUGUUAUUCUAAUCCAUAUUAGUGUGCUUUCUAUUAUAUGCAUGCUGCCAAGUCUAGUUCUAGUUUUGAUGUAUUCCGGAGAUGGUUCUCUCUGUGGAAUCUUGAUUUGAUGGAAGUAGUGGGCUGGCUUGCUCCUUGUCCAACCCUGAUUCCUCUCUUAAGUUGGCCUAAUUGUACUUGACAAAAAAAGUUGACCUCGUGGGAGGAGUAAUGGACUGCAAGUUCCACCCUAGGCAACCAUGGUUAUUCACUGCGGGUGCUGAUUCAGUGAUCAAACUGUACUGUCAUUAAAAAAAGAAAAGACGGUGAAUUGCCCUGUCUGUGUUUCAUAUUAUUAUUGGUUGAAACACAUUCUCACUUCAGCUAAAAUGGAUGAUGGGGUCAAUCAAUCUCACCGGGGAGAUUGGGCAGCUGAAGUGUGUUUCAGAUAUAUGAUUCAAUUUUUGAAGGCAGGAAGUUUUGUAAAGGAUAAAGUAUGGCAUGCCCCAAUUGUUGUGAUAAGCCAUGCUUCUUACCUCCAUGGAUAUACUAUACGGUCUCUCUACAAAGCAGUCCAAAUAUCAGGUGAUCAGGUACUUCAACUUUUUUUUUUUCUGUA